This 253-nucleotide ribosomal RNA is filed under the name uncultured bacterium. RNAcentral's name for it is "partial 16S ribosomal RNA". It matches the Rfam family "Bacterial small subunit ribosomal RNA", at positions 524 to 776 of the family's 1533-position model. The record is from RNAcentral.
UACGUAGGGUGCAAGCGUUGUCCGGAAUUAUUGGGCGUAAAGAGCUCGUAGGCGGCUUGUUGCGUCGGAUGUGAAAGCCCGGGGCUUAACCCCGGGUCUGCAUUCGAUACGGGCAGGCUAGAGUGUGGUAGGGGAGAUCGGAAUUCCUGGUGUAGCGGUGAAAUGCGCAGAUAUCAGGAGGAACACCGGUGGCGAAGGCGGAUCUCUGGGCCAUUACUGACGCUGAGGCACGAAAGCCAGGGUAGCAAACGGG